CCGAGCUACGGCAACGCAGAUCAGUGGAAGAUUGGAAUAGCGUCAGUGUUUCCGAGUGCCAUCGCCAUCGUCCCGUCUAAGGACAUCUUCUGGACGCAAAAAAACGAAAACGGAAGCACUUUCAACGAACCUAACCCCGAGCUACAAUCUCUGGUUGCCACUUUAAGCACGGGUCCUGUGGGCGUGGGCGACAGAUUUGACGAGGUGAACGUCCCGAUGCUUAAAAAGUGCUGCACAUCAAGCGGUCGAAUCCUCAAGCCCAAUUUACCCGCUCUGGCAAUUGACGAUCAGAUAACACAGAUAGCAUUUCAAGAUGGCGACGGUCCCACAGGUGAAGUGUGGAGCACGUGGACAUUUGUGUCUGAGAAUGGCGAGAAGGGCCAGAAACACGGGAUCAUCUUCGCCUCUGGACUCACCAAGCCGUAUGAAAUCACC
Long non-coding RNA from Gigantopelta aegis, 435 nucleotides. RefSeq lists it as uncharacterized. The record is from RefSeq and is a predicted model, not a curated record. The transcript has 4 exons. NCBI's taxonomy places the organism in Eukaryota, Metazoa, Mollusca, Gastropoda, Neomphalida, Peltospiridae.